AAGUAAAGAGUAUGUCAAGAUAGCCAAGGAGACUGCCUGACUAGCCUUUUUGAAAGCUCUAAUCAGCCAAAACACAUACAAAUAACUUUCACAAAAAAGAAGCAGGCAAGUCAUCCUUGGCUACUAAACCAUGACUCUUACCC
Non-coding RNA from Beta vulgaris subsp. vulgaris (sugar beet), 143 nucleotides. The record is from Rfam. NCBI's taxonomy places the organism in Eukaryota, Viridiplantae, Streptophyta, Magnoliopsida, Caryophyllales, Amaranthaceae.